Molecule: small nuclear RNA, 107 nt
Organism: Sarcophilus harrisii (Tasmanian devil)
Lineage: Eukaryota; Metazoa; Chordata; Mammalia; Dasyuromorphia; Dasyuridae
Source: Ensembl
GAGUUGGCUUCCACAGCACAGAUGCAAAAACUAAAAUGAUAUAGAGAAAAUUAGUACUGCCCCAGAGUAAGGAUGACAUGCAAAUUUGUGAAUUGUUGCAUAUUUUU